GUGAGGAAUAUUGCGCAAUGGAGGCAACUCUGACGCAGCCAUGCCGCGUGCAGGAAGAAGGCGCUACGCGUUGUAAACUGCUUUUAACCGGGAAGAAACCCCAGGACGUGUCCUGGGUUGACGGUACCGGAGGAAUAAGCACCGGCUAACUUCGUGCCAGCAGCCGCGGUAAUACGAAGGGUGCAAGCGUUAUCCGGAUUCAUUGGGUUUAAAGGGUGCGUAGGCGGAGCGUUAAGUCAGUGGUGAAAUCCUGCAGCUUAACUGUAGACUUGCCAUUGAUACUGGCGCUCUUGAGUGCGCUUGAAGUGGGCGGAAUGUGCCGUGUAGCGGUGAAAUGCUUAGAUAUGGCACAGAACACCAAUUGCGAAGGCAGCUCACUAAGGCGAUACUGACGCUGAGGCACGAAAGCGUGGGGAUCGAACAGGAUUAGAUACCCUGGUAGUCC
RNAcentral lists this ribosomal RNA (445 nucleotides) under uncultured bacterium. Its description in RNAcentral is "bacterial SSU rRNA". It matches the Rfam family "Bacterial small subunit ribosomal RNA", at positions 354 to 796 of the family's 1533-position model. The record is from RNAcentral.